RNAcentral lists this long non-coding RNA (15516 nucleotides) under Ananas comosus (pineapple). RNAcentral's name for it is "long non-coding RNA (ACOM_LNC001011)". The record is from RNAcentral. Lineage: Eukaryota; Viridiplantae; Streptophyta; Magnoliopsida; Poales; Bromeliaceae.
UGAUUAUUUUCAAUCGUUAGAUUAUACUAUUCAACCAACCAACCACCCACUCAACCCUAGGAGGCUCACAUCAUCCUAACCGCACAUCCCUUAAUCCAAUGGCCAAAAAUCUACAAGAACCAAUAACUUGGUACUUUUAAAAGCAUAGGAGCUCAAUUCUCUCUCUCUCUCUCUCUCUCUCUCUCUCUCUCUCUAUAUAUAUAUAUAUAUAUAGUUGAGCUAGAAUACUAUCGGUAGCAAACGGGCUAUGUUACCAUCCAUUUGUUUUCAAUGAUCGAGACUCCAAAUUGAUGAUCGACACCAUUGAAUAUGACGCAUACCGCUUGAAGCAUCUAGAAAUCAAAUUUCAUACUUUUUCAAUAUCGUUCUCUUGUCCAUCAAGUGGACACAACAAUGAACUGGUAAAAAUGAAUAUCCUUUAAAAGUGAUGAUAGGAGUUUUGUAAUCAAGAUUAAGAGUCUAGAUCUUGUUUUAAAUAGUUUAAGAAAAUUUUUAAUCAAAAUUCAAUUGAUUUAGAUAUCUUUACACCGUUAAACGAGAAACGUCUCAUAUCGACCGUUAAAAUUAUAAAUUUUGAAACUCUUUAAUCAUUAAGCCAAUGAUGUCGAAAAGACUUGAAAUUUGGUUUCUAGAUACUUCAAGUGGUAUGGAUCAUGUUCAACGGUGCCAAUCGUCGAUUUGGAAGCUCCAUCAUCGAAAACAAAUGGGUGACAACGAAGUCUGUUUGGUACCUUCUAGUUCACCUAUAUAUUAUAGGCUAGGGCUACUAUACUCUUAUGAGUAUAAAGCCCUUCGUAUUCAUAAGUUGUUUUCGAUGAUGAGGCUUCCGAAUCGACGAUCCACUCCGUUAAAUAUGAUCUAAAAUAUUUGAAACUUCUAAAAAAUAAAUUUCGUAAUUUUUCGAAAUCAUAAUAAAAAGUCUAUCAAGCGGGCAUAAAAUGAACGGCCAAAAUCGAACGACGUCCUAAAAAUAGAUGAUCGGAUCCUUCAAUUUAAGAUCGGAGUUAUUGAUUUUUAUCUAGGUAGUGAAUAGAAUUUUUCAAUCAAACAUUCAAUCUAUUCCGAUUCUUUUUUACCAUUAAACUAGCAAGUAUCCCAUAGCGGCCGUUAAAAAUUGUCAAUUUUGUGAGUUUUUGAUCGUAAGGUAAAUGAUAUCGAAAAAUUAUGAAAUUUGAUUUCUAGAAGUUUUAAAUGUUCUAGAUUAUGUUUAACGGUAUGGAUCGUCGAUUUGGAAGCUCUAUCAUCGAAAAUGACUUAUGAGUACGAGAGCGAUCGUACUCAUAAGAGUAUAGCAGUCGGACUCUAAUAUAUAUAUAUAUAUAUAUAUAGAGAGAGAGAGAGAGAGAGAGAGAGAUAAGCACAAUGAAAAAGAAAAAGAAAGGAAAAAAAAAAAACCUUGGUAAAAAAGGAUGGAAAUAACUGCUUUUGUUGCAAAUAUUGCGCGGUCACAUUGUUGCCUUGUUGAUUCUUUGCAUAUCUUAUUCUCUGAGCUUUUCAGGUUUAUGCUAUAUAGAUUGAAUAUCCCUUCCGGCGGACAGAGAUUGAAGCAGUAAUCUGAGUCUACAUUCCUGCUAUAUUUUUCAGUUUACUAUGUUUUUUUUUCUUUUUUCUUUUUUCUUUUUUUUUUUUCAUGUUUGGACCAUUUCAAUGCUUCUAUAAUGCAGCUCGUAGCGACGGAUAAAGCAAAAUUUGAUUGAUCUAUAUAUUAUAUGCAGGCGCGGAAUAUGCAGGAAAGGGGAUGGAAGCCUCGCUGGUUUGCAAAAGAUAAAGGAAGCGACACAUACCGCUACAUUGGCGGUUACUGGGAAGAUCGGGAAAAGGGCCAGUGGGACGGUUGCCCUGACAUAUUCGGCCAAAUUCCCACUGAUCCCUUGUUAACUGACUAGUGGUGGUUUGCAAACUUAGAUCAUCAUGUCUCUAGGUCUUUUCUUUUCUGUCCUUUUUUUUUAUUAGGAUUAUCUAGCUUUACUUGUUUUCUCUCUUUCUCUGAUGCUCGCCAUUUUCGAGCAACCAAAGUGCCUUCUAUGCUUGUAAACAAAGAAGAUAGUAUUUCUCAAAUGUUAUUAUUCUCUUAUACAAAAUAAUAGAAAGAGUUCUCAUUCCAAACGCAGCAUAAUCUACCUAUUCUAUCUUUAUUAUCUAUACAAUAACAUUAAAGGGCGAGCCAUUAACCGUUUUGUGCCUUCUCCUUGAUUUCGGAUGUGGCCCCCCAUCGACUAUUUUCCCCCCUCUCACCCAUCUGACGCGUGGGCCCCGUCUUCUUGAUUUCGGAUGUGACCCCUCGGUACUCUCUCUUCUUCCUGGCGCCUCGGCUCCCCUGUACUUUUCCUGCUGUGCUCUCCUGAUUCUUAUAUUCCCUGUAGGUUCCAUUUAAUUAAAGAGCGAACCCUUAACCAUUUUGGAUGUGGGACCCCCAUCGACCAUUUUUUCUCUCUCUCACCCCUCUGAGGCGUGGGUCCUCUCAGGUGGUGUUUCCUCUCCCUUCUUCUUGGCGGCUUGGCUUCCCCUACUUUUCCUACUGUGCUACUCCGAGGCUUCUCUUCUCUCGCUAUGUUUCUCCUUCUGCUUACUCCUAUGUUUCUCGUACGGUUUGUGCCCUCUUCGGCGCAUUAAUGGCGCCGCUCAGCUGCAGCUUGCCGGGAGAAUGCUCUUUUUUUUUCACCGUACGUCUGUAUUUACCGCAGAUCUGGGCAUUUAAUGCCGUUAUCAAACAGCCGGUUCCUCGGAAAUUGAUCCGUUUUGUGCCGUACGCCCAUAUCUACCUCAGAUCUGGGCAUUUAAUGUUCGCUGCAGGGCCGUCGCUUCCCGGAGAUAGGUGACCCUCGGCGUCGUAUAGCCUCCCAUCACGGCGCGGCGUAGCUGUCGCAACAGCACACUGCGCCGCUCGGCCGCGACGCCCUGCCUCCCCUCUCCUCUCUCUUCUUUUGCUUCGUUUCACACUGGUUUAUAUAUGUGCUCCCUUGGUUGAUAAGUCCCUUGCCUACUUUCUUCCGAACUUGCAAACUAGUUUGCUAUCUUUGUUGUUCUUCUUCGGCUACUUCCUUUUCUCUUCUCAUGUUGUCUGGUAUUUGGAUUUUUAUGUUGCUUGGAUGGUUGGAUGCCUAAUGGUUCCUGUGUUUUUAUGGUUCGUCUGAAAGUUUUUUCUAGGUUUUAAAAUUUUUUUGUGUUCUCUCAGUUUUUCUUAUUCUCUUCUAUUUUUUUGCAGCUUCUUUUCUUCUUUCGGGCUUUUUUUGCAAAUAGCCCCCUUACAAUUUUUUUUUUUAAAUAGUCCUGUCCAAAAUUUAUUUGCAAAAAUGGCCCUGACCCUGCCACGCAAGCGCCAAGUCAGCGCCACGUGGGCGGGGCUGGGGCCAGGUGUUUAAGUUGAACACGGUGAACCAUUCACCGUGUCACCGUGUUCAAAUACGGUGAAUGGUUCACCGUGUCCAAUGUAUUAUACACACCCAGGUUUGGGUGGCUAUAAUACAUAGGACACGGUGAAUGGUUCACCGUAUAAGAUAUGGAUCCCGAGGAUCUAAAAAGUAAUUAACACCUAGAGGGGGGUGAAUAGGUGUAAAAACGGCAAACUCAAAAAUCUCGAUGCAAAUAAAACGAAAUAGCGGAAAAGAAAACAGCACACCGAGAAUUUAACGUGGGAAAACUCCAAAUCGGAGUGAAAAAUCCACGGGACCAAUCACGCAAAGAAAAUCCACUAAGAAAAUAUGAGUACUAGUGAUUUUGACCAAAACACACGACUCAAUUUACCAACUUCCCGUAGAUGAUGAUCUUCGCCGGUCCUCGAUCGAUAAGAAUCCUCCAAUCGAUCUCACUGCAACUCCUUGCAGCGUCAACGCCUCAACUCCUUGAAGCGUCCACCGAAUCCUCGGCUACACGUGAACUCCACACGUCGAAUCUCCUUCCGGAGCUUGUAGAAUUGAAGAUUUGUGGUGAUUAAGCUUUAGAAUCCCAUAAGCUAUGAGGAUCUACCUUUAAUCAAACAUCUACUUGAUUCUCGUAUGAUUUCUUGAGUAAAAACAAAGAAUCAAGUCGAUUGUUGAUUGUUAGAAACUUGUUAUUAGAAUCAAACCAUAAGAACAAGAAUAACUAGUUUCUAGGGUUUAGAAUCAGUAAAAAUUCAAAGCCUUACCUCUUUAGAUGACCCUCAUAGCUUAUUUAUAUGUUUAGAAGACUUAGAAAUAGACUAGAAUUGUAAAAAGUCCUUUUUAAAAACCUGUGUCGUCCCCAGAGACCGGACUUCUCGAGGAGACCGGUCUGUGAGAGACCGGUCUCUCAAGUGAGGAACCGGUCCCUCGCUGCGUGACCAAAAUCACAACGUUCGGGAACCGGUCUCUCAUCUCAGGGAACCGGUUGCAUCAAAACUCACGCAGUGAGGACCUUAGGGGAACCGGUCUCUUGAACUCAGAGACCGGUCCCAGAACACAGAAAAGUUCAGUAAAGUAGUUUUAAAGCCAUCUAAGCCUUCUGAACUUAUUCUAAUUAGGUAUCUUCACCACAAAUGAUCUUUUCUCCAUACCUUAAGUGUCGAGCUUUCCGAAUGAGUCUUUAUUCUUCAAUUUGAAUCUUUUCUUCAAAACUUCUGCGAUCAACUCUUCAAGACUCCAACCAACUUUACGAAAUUCGCCAACCUAUAAAAUUCUUAACACACCGUGUCCAAUACACGAUGAACUGUUCACUGCGUUUAGACACGGUGAACCAUUCAUCGUGUCCUAUUCUAAUACCCCAGCCGUGUCCAAUGUAUACACACCCAAGUCUGGGUGUCUACACUACAUGGACACGGUGAAUAGUUCACUGUGUCCAAUCAGUUUAGACACGGCAAACCAUUCACCGUGUCCUAUACUAAAACCCCAUACAACUCUGGGGUAUUUGUAUUGGACACGGUGAAUGGUUCACCAUGUCCAGACACGGUGAACCAUUCACCAUGUUCUCUUUGAAUACAACCCCCGAGCUGUCUUCCUUUUCCUCCCCGAGCUGUCUUCCUCUUUCUCUCUCUCUCUCUCUCUCUCUCUCUCUGGCCGACGCUGCCCGCCGCGCGCCCUUCGCUGCCGCCGCCCUUUGUUGCCCGAGGUAGCUCCCCACUCCUUAUUAUCCCUCUAGCCCUAGAAGCCCCCACCCCCCACCUCUCUCUCUCUCCUCUCUCUCUUCUCUCUCUCUCUCUUUCUCUGUGCCACCCGGCCGCCGCCGCGCGACGCCGGCCCUCAUCACCCGUCCGAGAACACCCCCCACCCCGCUUGCUCUCUCUAACCGCUCUAGCUCUUCUCUCAUUUCACUGUGGCGCCCCCCCCCCCCACACAGUGGCUUCUCUCUGUGAGAAGCCUCUGUGAGACCCCUUCUCACAGUGGAUUCUCACUGUGAGAAGCCAAUGUGAGUCCCACAGAGGCUUCUCAUAGUGAGAAGCCUUUGUGAGGCCUCUCACAGGCAACCCCCCCCCUCACAGUGGCUUCUCUCUGUGAGACGCCUCUGUGAGUCUCACAGAGGCUUCUCACAGUGAGAAGCCUUUGUGAGGCCUCUCACUGUGCAAACCCCCCUCUCAGAGUCCUCUCACUGAUUGUUCUCGGUGUCUUUGUCACAAGUCAAUCCUUAGCUCUUAAUUGGCAAAGUAGUCGCGCCGACCGUGUUUGUACAAUGGUAAUAGCAUCUCUUACCUUCUCUUUUGUUGUAUGUUAGAAAUGUGGUAUGUCUUGAGUUUAAUAUUUUUGUACAUUUUAUUUUAUUACUUUAGAACUCUAUAUCUGGCGAUUUUGUUCCUUUCGAUAUCCAUUGGGAUGGAAAUUUUGUCGAGAACAAUAAUGUACCACGAUAUAUUGGUGGCGGUAAAGAAUUGGUUGCGGUCCGACGCAAUAUCUCAUUUCGGGAUUUAGAGAUGAAAAUAUACAAUGUUACUAAUUAUGAUCGAGUGGAAGACCGUCUACGCAUCACGGUGAAAUGUCCAAUGGGAGGCGAAUGGGAAUUAGUUAACAUAUCAAAUGACAAUACACUAUCUGGCGAUAUGAGUAUUUUUCCGUUCCAUGGAUGUAUAAAAUUAUUCGUGGAGAAAGAUGUGUUGACGACAAACCACCGUCCAAAUACCGUUUAUCAAAUGGAAAUGCGUCGUAGUCGCAAUGAUCAAAGGAAUUACGUCAAUCGUGAACAAGUUCGUACAUCAAGGUAUAAAGUAAUGAUCUUUAUAAAUCGUUUUCGUGAUUUCUCAAUUAGUUUAGGUGUGCGAAAUUAAUAACUUUGUCUUGUAAGUGUUACAGAGAGUUUGGAGUCCCAUCUCUGCCAGUUAGUGCAGCAUUGCCAUAUGCUAUGAUGGAUCCGUCUCCGUUGGUUGAUCAAAAUGAGUGGUAGGUGAUUGUAUGAUUUAGUUACAUGAAAAAUCAAUGUGAAUAGUUAAUCUUAUAUAUCUUUACAGAUCUACUGUCCCUCCUUAUUCAAGUGAAGAUCCAUCAUCUUAUGUUCAUGAAUGGAUGGAUUGGGAAGUCAGAACCACUAUCCUUCCUUAUCAAAAUGAAGGUCCAUCAUCUAGUGUUCAUGAAUGGCCGACUUGGGAAGUAAGAAGUACUAUCCCUCCUUAUCUAGAUGCAGGUCCAGGACCAUCUAGUGUUCAUGAAUGGCCGACUUGGGAAAUAAGAAAUACUAUCCCUUCUUAUCAAAAUGAAGGUCCAUCAUCUAGUGUUCAUGAAUGGCCGGCUUGGGAAGUAAGAAAUACUAUCCCUCCUUAUCUAGAUGCAGGUCCAGGACCAUCUAGUGUUCAUGAAUGACCGACUUGGGAAAUAAGAAAUACUAUCCCUUCUUAUCAAAAUGAAGGUCCAUCAUCUAGUGUUCAUGAAUGGCCGGCUUGGGAAGUAAGAAAUACUAUCCCUCCUUAUCUAGAUGCAGGUCCAGGACCAUCUAGUGUUCAUGAAUGACCGACUUGGGAAAUAAGAAAUACUAUCCCUUCUUAUCAAAAUGAAGGUCCAUCAUCUAGUGUUCAUGAAUGGCCGGCUUGGGAAGUAAGAAAUACUAUCCCUCCUUAUCAAAAUGAAGGUCCAUCAUCUACUCAUCGUGAAUGGACCAAUCGGGACGUGACUACAACUGAUAAUGAGGACGUAAUUCGAAGUGAUGAGGAGUAUGUUAGUGAAACUGAUGAAGAGGAUCAAGGGCGAAUUGAUGCUGAUUCUAGUGAUGACGAGGAGUCCUUUGUUGCGUGUUCUUUGGAUCCUGAUCAUGACGGUGGCUUGAAUGCCCUCGCAUGCGCCAUUCGAGAUGAAGGUGUUGAAUGGAUUGAAAACUCAAAUGCCAACAACGAAGAUGUACCGGACCCGGUGGAAUUCGUGGAAUUUGAAGAUCAACGACAACGGUUUGUCCUGGGUAAUGAAUUAAUUAAUCAAAGCGUUGUUGAUGCAUAUAGUGAACAAAAUAUUGAUCAGGGUCCUCCAAGUGAUGAAGCAUGGGCUAAUCGGACUUUUUCUGAUAAAUCAUCGCUAGUAAGGGCCUUGGACGCUUGGCACAUUGCACAUAAUGUGCAGCUUAAAGUUGUUAAGUCAAAUACAACUAGAUAUACUGUGCGAUGUGUGGUCGAUUCUUGCCCUUGGAGAUUACAUGCCUCUCAACCGAAAGGUAGUUCAUUUUUUAAAGUAAAGACUUAUAAAGGUCCGCACACUUGUUUGGUUCCAAUUCUAAAUACAAGACAUCGAAACUGCACAUCAUCUUUCAUAUGUCAAUUUAUACUACCUACACUGAAGGCAAGGCUUACAAUGAGUCCGAUGGAAAUUCAAGCUCGAGUUCAGAGCGAGUUACACGUUAGCAUAUCAUAUAGCAAGGCUUGGCGGGCACAGAAUAAAGCACUACAAAUUAUAUACGGUAGUUGGGAGCAAUCAUACUGCGACCUUCCUCGAUACUUCUCUAUGUUGGAAUCAACAAAUCCAGGAACUAUUACAAAGAUUGAGUAUAUUAGUGUGGCGAGCAAUACGAGAAUGUUUUCACGAGCCUUUUGGGCUUUUGGACCGUCGAUUCAUGGUUGGGAGUAUUGCCGGCCAUUACUUAGUAUCGAUGCUACUCAUCUGUAUGGGAAAUACGGAGGCCACGCAUUAAUUGCCACAGGUGUCGAUGCGAAUGGUGGUUUAUUUCCGCUAGCUUUCGCAAUUUGUGAGGGGGAGAAUGGCUCGAGUUGGGAGUGGUUUUUAAGUUGCCUAAGAAGGUAUAUAACAAGAUCUCGAGUUAUUACACUAAUUUCAGAUCGUUUUAAAGGCCUAGCGAACCUCGUUGCACUUGUAUUCCCACCAUCUGAAGGUCAUGCUCAUCGAUGGUGUUUGCGACAUAUGAAGGCCAAUAUGAAUAUUCAUUUCAAAGGAAAACACUUACUUAAAAUUUUUUAUCGAAUUGGGAGUGCUUCAGAAGAACGGCAAUAUUACGCAUUAAAGGAAGAAUUGAAGGCUAUGGAUGAAGAAGCUUGGCGUUGGGUUGACAAUCUUCAUAACGAUAGGACAUACUGGGCUAAAGCUUUUGAUGGUGGUCGACGAUUUGGUAUUAUGACAACUAACCGAUCGGAAAGUUUAAAUGGGGUGUUGAGGGGAGUUCGCGCCUUACCAAUUACAGCUUUUGUGAUGCAACGUUUCAUCGAGUGGUUGAAUUUUUCCUAAAACAUCAGGCGGAGGGCGCUGCAAUGUCUACGCAAUUUGUAUCGACUGUUGAAAACACCAUCAAUAGCCAGAUGAGAAGUGCUAGAGUAUAUACAGUUUGACGAUUCGGAUUUCACGAGUUCGACAUACUUACUGGCGGGGAUGAUGCAUACCAAGUGAUUAUCAAUGGAAGCAGUUCUACAUGUUCAUGUUUGUGUUUGCAACUCACAGGAAUCCCUUGUUCACACAUUUUGUCAUGUUGUAGUUCUUCACACAUGAACAUAGAUUAUUAUGGUUUAUGUUCUCCUUGGUAUACUGUCGUAUCCUAUACGACAUGUAAGGCUUAUGAAUCGCAAUUCCACCCGGUUCCUGAUCGUCGUUAUUGGAUCGCGUCAUAUGAAUCCCCUAUACUGCCACGCGGGAGAAGGAAAAAGGGACGACCCAGAUCUACGCGUAUCCGUAAUAUUAUGGACGAAGCCGCUGGGAAUAGGAGGGGCAAGUGUAGGAUCAAUACCACACUAGCUUUUCUAGGUUUCAUAACAAACAUGGCUUAAUAAUCAAAGUUCUCGCGUCAUAUGAAUCCCCUAUAUAGCUUUUCUAGGUUUCAUAACAAACAUGGCUUAAAAAUCAAAAAACCUAUGUCAAAUCCCUCUUAGGAUCAAUACCAUCAUCCUUAACAAAAGAACAGUGUAUAAAUACCUUGGAUUUUCUUGCUGUUGCAUUUCUUCUCACCUCCACUUCCAUCUUGCUCCAAACCCCUCUAAAUAUGUAGUACACUGGACCUUUACAAAUUGCGAGGUUCGAGUGACUGGAUGUGUUUCGAGCUUUUCCACACUUAGUGGAGGGUCGUAGAAUGUUUUUCGACCUAAAAAGUUCGAAAACCUGAAUUCUUGACGAGUCCUGAGAGUUUUCACUCUCGGGGACCGGUCCCUGAAAGGAGAGACCGGUCCCCCAGUGAGCAGUGUUGCGGCAGCCCUGAGGCAACCGGUCCCUGACGGGCGAGACCGGUCCCCGAGCGCGUCUACGAAGUGAAAGACCGGUCCCGCGCAGGAAGAGACCGGUUCCCGAACGUUGGUUUCUCGGGUUCGCAGCGAGAGACCGGUCCCUGCUGGGGAGAGACCGGUCCCUCUGGGCGAAAACUGCCCAUACCGGGCUGUUGCAAUAUUAGAUUUUUGAGGGACCUAGUUGGAUUUUGUUACAAUAGAGGGUCUAUAUGACCCAUCCACUCUCUCUUCUCCUCAUUUCUCUUCUCUCAACUCUCUCUACACCCUUGAUAGAGAAGAAGAAGAAGAAGGAGAAGGGGAAGAAGGAGGGAAGAAGAAGAAGUUUGAGAGCUACUAGUGGACUUGGAGCAUCUUCCUCACCCUAUCUUCUUCCUUGGUGCUUGGUGCUUGGACUUGGAGCUUGCAAGAGAGAAGAUCUUCACCCUUUGAGCUUGGAUUGAAGCUUCUUAGAGGUUGGUAGCCCUUUCUCUCCAUCUAGACUUUGGAUUUGAGGUUUUCUUGUGUUGGAACCCUAGAAUGAGAUUUUAGGGUUGAUUUUGGGGCUUUUUGAUCUAGGGCUUUUGGAGCUUGAUCACUUGGAUUAGAGCCUUCCUUUGGGUUGGAUUGGAAGGGAUUUAGCUCUCUUUUGGAGCUUAGGAAGAGAUUUUGCACUAGAGGUGAGUUUUGACCCUAUUUUUGAGAUGGUUAAUGUUUGAUCCUAUAGUUGAUCGUAAUGCCCGUGUAUCUCUUCGCUCAAUACUUUUAGGGUAUUUUGAGACUCGUGGACAACUCCGUUCGGCGAAUCGAAGGAGCACGCGACGGUUCGGUGGGUUUGACCUAGCCACACAAUGAGAAAAUCUCAUUGUUGAUGAUUUAAGUGUUAUAAAAUGAAAAAGCAUGCAUAUUCUUAUUAUAUGUAUUUAUUGUGAAUUUUAGAAUGCUUAAAAUGUCUAUGUUGCAUAUAGUAAAAUUUUGGGCCUCUAUGUAGUAGAGAGCAUGCAUGUGUGAUAUAGCAUUCUGGUUGAGAUUUGAAACUAAGAUCCCUAUUAUGAAAAUGAACCUUGCUUUCAUGCAUUUAGCUUAUUUGCCAAUUGUGACAUUAGGGAUUUUUGGAAGCCUAGAGAGGCUGGAGGACUUAGACUAUUUGAGAGAUUGGGCCAAUGUCAUAAAGAGGCAUUGGGCCCGGGCUAAAGUGAACCUUACAAGUAUUGUUUUAAUUGGAAUAUGGAACAUGAAUUGGGCAUGAUUAGUUGUGAUGCUUAGGUGUCAUAAAGAGGCACUAAGCAAGUGUGUGCGUCGGAGCGUCACUUUGAGACUUUAGACUAGAUCCUUGGGAUGCUAGUGACCUUGCCAUGUGAGAGGCAUGAGAGUAGAGUACUUGAGACUUUGACCUUGCUUGUUUGCCAUUUGUGCUCAUUCGCACAUGCUUGUGAGGGUCGCUCCCUACAAGCCGGCACUCCGGAGUUAGCCUACGCGACUUAUGUUCGCUCGUGCGGUAUUGAGAAGCCUACGGGGUCGAGUGGGACAGAUACAUUCCAAGAGUAGGGAUGUCGGGCUACCACAGGCACUUAGGCGGCACAAGCUGGAUUACCCUUGGUAGGUCCUUAAUUGGAAAUGGAAAUCGACACGGUGUUAAGAAUGAAUAAUCACUGCGAGAUAGGCUUAGUAGUUGGGUUACUUGACACGCUCAUGACAUAGCAUUGGGAUAUACAUAUAGUAUACUUACCUGUUUCAUUCAUUAUGUCAUAGUAUACUGGGUUGCAUGAUAGAGCUCAUUCUUUAUGCAUGACAUCUUGGACAGUAGCGUUUACUUGUAGCCAUCGGACGUACUUGUUUAUGAUAGCGUAGAUGUACAUCAUAUUUACAUCAUGCUUACUUGAGACAUAGUAAUAUAGCAUUUCAUAUAUGCUUUCUUUCAGCAGUUAUUGUACUCGCUCUUUAUUGCUUAUUAUUAUUGUCGUUACUUACCCUUUUCUUUUGGGGCCUAGUGGUGCAUUGAGCUGAGGUCAGUAAUUGCCCACUGGGAACUAUAAAUUAUAGUUUUCACGCUCUCUGUUUUGUAUUUUCUUUCAGAGCCUUCCACGCCGGGAGAGGCUAGGGACCGAGGGAAGGGCGUGGCUUCGAGCUAGCUCUUCAGCGAGUAAUGAGUCGCUAGGUGGUCUACCUCUCGAUGUUUUUAUUUUGUGAGAGGUUGAGAGUUGUACCCGUAUAUAUGUAUAGAGACCACCUUUCUUUUGGAUCUUGGUAUUUCUUUUAAGGAGUUAGUAUUGUAUCACCUUAUGCUUUACUUUCUUUGUUUAGUUAUAUUUCUUUUACUCUGGUUUAGAUGAUAGAACUUUUUACUCGCUCUGAUAUCAUUAGUUGUUAUUAUUUUAUUCGUUCUAUUUCUUGCUUUUACUUCCGCUUUAUUGUAGACGCCUUAUAUGUCACAUCUACACGUUGGACUGAAUGUAGAUAACGCCACUUCAUUGGAGUUGCAAGUGCGGGAGAGAUGGCUUUGUUAUGCAGAUGUCCUCCAGGGAAGUCAGAGAAUCCAUGAGGACAAUACGUUUCGCAAAUUGCUCAACGUAGGCCGCGCGCGACUGUUGGACAGCCAAGUACGGCAGAAAAGUGUAUGCUGGAUCAAACUGGUUCCAACAAUACCGCCGUGCGACCGCAGCACUUGGGGUUCAGUGGUCAGUGUGACUAGUUGAGACUAUUGUGUUGUUCUGCAACUAGUCUUCUGCGCUAGCUCGGAGGAUUAGACCCGACUUGGAAUCCGGCAGUUGAAGCCCCUACAUUGGGACCGUAUGAGGUUUGGAUGCGGUAAGUCCGGGUCGGUAGCGUAUGACUCGCUCGUACGCCAAACUAUCGCGGGUGUUACACAAUGUGUUUCAUGAUAUCCGUCCUGCGGAAGUAUAUCCACGACCCGGCUCAUAUUUUGGACGUACGCCUUUGGAGCUGGGGUGAUGCAGCUUUGGAGGAGCAACUUUGCGGAUUUUUGGCUCGGCGAAGCAGUAAAGAGAUAUUGCGGACACCGCUGACCAUUACACCCUACAGCGUGAAGCGUGUUGUAGGAGCAACCACGAUAGCGUUCGCCUGACUAUCGUGGCGACACAUGGUGAUAGCGCAUUGAGGGACCGCCCUAGAUCACCCUCUUUUUUUCAAUGGAGGCUAGUGGGGUACUUGUCAUCUUGUCGAGUUCGUCUGUGGACGAAACUCCCUUUUCAGGAUGGGUCCAGUGAAUGUAGUACAUUGGACCUUGCAAUUGCGAUGUGUUUCGAAGUGACUGGAUGUUGGUUUCGAGCCUUUUCCAUACGUUAAUGUGGUGAAGCGGUUCAUAGCUAUUUUUGACCAAAAGUUCGAAACCUGAAUCUUGACGAGUCCUGAGAGUUUUCACUCUCGUGGACCAGUCCCUGAAGGGAAAGACCGGUCCCCCAGUGAGCAGUGUUGCGGGCAGCCUCGGAGGCUACCCGGUCCCUGGUGGGCGAGACGGUCCCGAGCGCGUCUACGAAGUGAGAGAUCUGUCCGCGCGAGGGUGAGAGAGAUCGGUUCAUACCGAACGUUGGUUCUCGCGGCGUACGUUCGCCCAGUGAGAGACCACGUCCCUGACUGGGGGAUGAGACCGGUUCGGCCUUCUGCGUGCGAAAAAUGCCAGACCUGGGCUAGUUGCAACAUGUGGAUUUUGUGAGCGAUCCCUAAGUUGAUUGUUACAAUAGAGGGGUCUAUAUGAGCAUCACUCUUCUCUUCAUCCCAUUUCUCUCUCUCUAACUCUUCUACACCCUUGAUAGAGAAGAAGAAGAAGGAAGGAAGGGAAAAAGAAGAUAUAGACCCUGGAAGAGGAAUAAAAGUGUGAGGCUAUAGAUUGGUACUUGGGCCAUGCUUCUUCCAAACUAUCUUUUCUUGGUGCUAUUGGUGUCUUGACCUUGAUGUGCAAAGUAGCAAGAUCUUCACCCUUGAGCUUUGGAUUGUAAGUUUUUAGAGAGGUUGGAUCUAAGGCUUUCUCCUCUAGACUCUUGCUUGAGGGCUUUUCUUGUUUUGGCCCUAGAAUGAGAUUUAGCUGUUGAUUUGGGGCUUUUUGAUUGGUAGGCUUUGGUGAGCUUGCAUUCACUUGGAUUAGAGCCUUUCUUUUGGGUUAGGAUUGGAGAGAGAAUUUAGCUCUCUUUUGGAGUUUUAGAAGAGAUUUUGCACUUAGAGGUGAUUUUUCACCUCGGUGUUUUUGAGGAUGAUGGUUAAAUUUGAUCGUAUAGUGAUCGUAAUUAAUGCCGUGUAUCUGCGCUCAAUACUUUUAGGGUAUUUUGAGACUCCGGUGGACAACUGCCGUCGGCGAAUCGAAGCGAGCAACGCGACGCGUUUGAUGGGUUUGACCUAGCAAACACAAUGAGAAAUCUCAUGUUUGAUGAUUUAUAUAUUAUAAAGAUGAAUAAGCUGCAUAUUCUAGUUCAUAAUAUGAUAUUUAGUUGUGAAUUUUUAGAAUGCUUAAAAUGUCUAUGUUGCAUUAAGUAAAAUUUUGGGUCCUAUGUAGUAGAGAGCAUGCAUGUGUGAAUAUUGCAUCUAGGCGUGAUGCAUUUAGACAACUGCAUAGAUCCCCUAUUGAUGAAAUGAACCUUGGCUUUCAUAUGCAUUUAGUCUUAUUGCUCAAUUGUGAUCAUUGGGUUUUUGAACCCUUAUGAGAGGCUGGGAGAUACUUCAGGGAUUAUUUGUAUUGAUGAUUUGGGUCAAUGCUCGAUAAACGGCGAAAGGCGCAUGGUAGCCCCGCCGGCUAACGGAGGCUGAACCUUACGUAGUAUUGUUUUAAUGGAAUAUGGAACAUGAAUUGGGCAUGAUGUGUGUUGAUGCGUACGACGGUGGGUGUCAAAAGAGGCACGUAAGCAAGUGUGAUGCGUUGGAGGUCCUGGACUUUAGAUAGAUCCUGUGGGAUGCUAGGAGCCUUGCCAUGUGAGAGGCAUUGAGAGGUAGAGUACAUUGAGACUUUGGACCUUGCUUGUUUGCCAUUUGUGCUCAUUCGCAGAUGCUUGUGAGGCGCGCUCCCUACAAGCGCACUCCGAUGGUUCGCCUACGCGACUGUAUGUUGCUCGUCGUGCGGGUAUUGAAGAAGCCUACGGGGUUGAGUGGGAACGCACAUUCAAGACGUAGGAUGUCGGGUACCCGGCACUUUAGGCGGCACACGCGGUGGCUCCCUUUGGUAGGUCCUUAAUUGGAAAAUUGGAAAUCGACACAGUGUUAAGAAUUAAUAGUAUAUUCCAAGAUUGACUUACAGUCGGGAUAUCACAAGUUGAAGAUCAGACCUGAGGAUGUGUCGAAGACGGCUUUUAGAACAUGGUAUGGACAUUAUGAGUUUACUGUUAUGCCGUUUGGCCUUACUAAUGCCCCGGCAGUUUUUAUGGAUUUAAUGAACCGUGUUUUCAAGCCUUACUUAGACAGGUUUGUCGUGGUGUUCAUCGACGACAUUUUGGUCUAUUCCCGAAGUGAUGCAGAUCAUGAGGAACACUUGAGACUUGUACUUCAAGUGCUUCGGAAAAAGAAGCUCUAUGCCAAGUUGAAAAAGUGUGAAUUUUGGCUUAGAGAGGUGGCGUUUUUGGGCCAUUUGGUUUCAGGAUCAGGCAUAGCCGUGGACCCGAGGAAAAUAGAAGCUAUCAAGGAUUGGCCAAGGCCGACGAGCGUGACCGAGAUAAGGAGCUUCAUUGGUUUGGCCGGCUACUACCGACGGUUUGUUGAGGGGUUUGCAAAGUUAUCUACUCCCCUCACGAGACUCACGCAUAAAGGCACUAAGUUCAUUUGGAAUGAUGCGUGUGAAAGGAGCUUCCAAGAGUUGAAGCAGAGAUUGACGACCGCCCCGAUCCUUACCUUGCCGACUGCUGGAGCGGGGUAUGUGAUUUAUAGUGAUACUUCCUUUAAUGGAUUGGGCUGUGUUUUAAUGCAGGACGGGAAAGUGAUCGCGUAUGCAUCUCGCCAAUUGAAGGAAUAUGAAAGAA